UAAUGAUAGAGGUGCGGGGUUCAUCAGUAUUUUUGGCUGCGGAUACGAGAAGAUAUCCAGUCCAUGGCAGAUUGGCCAAAGAGAAAGGGAAGACCGCCGAAGAGCUUUCUUAUGCCAUACAGGAAGGUUCUGGGCUGACGCAGAAUAUGCGGCAGACUGUCACUUGUUGUGGAGCGCUAUCA
RNAcentral lists this non-coding RNA (182 nucleotides) under uncultured Blautia sp. Its description in RNAcentral is "Lysine riboswitch". It matches the Rfam family "Lysine riboswitch aptamer". From Rfam's summary of the family: Riboswitches are metabolite binding domains within certain messenger RNAs that serve as precision sensors for their corresponding targets. The record is from RNAcentral. Lineage: Bacteria; Bacillati; Bacillota; Clostridia; Lachnospirales; Lachnospiraceae.